Molecule: non-coding RNA, 122 nt
Filed under: unclassified sequences
Description: Flavobacterium-1 RNA
Rfam family: Flavobacterium-1 RNA
Source: Rfam by way of RNAcentral
CCAGGCUAGGGGUACAAGUCCUGCAGAAUUGCGUUCCACUGGACCUAAGCAACGACCUGAAAGGGUAGCGACGACGCCUGGCGUUGAAGGGGAGAGUAUCAGACGUGAUGUCCCCGACAACG